GACGAACGCUGGCGGCGCGCCUAACACAUGCAAGUCGAACGAGCGAGCGAGAGCUUGCUUUCUCGAGCGAGUGGCGAACGGGUGAGUAACGCGUGAGGAACCUGCCUCAAAGAGGGGGACAACAGAUGGAAACGACUGCUAAUACCGCAUAAGCCCACGGGUCGGCAUCGACCAGAGGGAAAAGGAGCAAUCCGCUUUGAGAUGGCCUCGCGUCCGAUUAGCUAGUUGGUGAGGUAAUGGCCCACCAAGGCGACGAUCGGUAGCCGGACUGAGAGGUUGAACGGCCACAUUGGGACUGAGCCACGGCCCAGACUCCUACGGGAGGCAGCAGUGGGGAAUAUUGCACAAUGGGGGAAACCCUGAUGCAGCGACGCCGCGUGGAGGAAGAAGGUCUUCGGAUUGUAAACUCCUGUUGUUGGGGAAGAUAAUGACGGUACCCAACAAGGAAGUGACGGCUAACUACGUG
RNAcentral lists this ribosomal RNA (466 nucleotides) under uncultured bacterium. RNAcentral's name for it is "partial 16S ribosomal RNA". It matches the Rfam family "Bacterial small subunit ribosomal RNA", at positions 28 to 507 of the family's 1533-position model. The record is from RNAcentral.